UAUCUGUACCCCUACUGUAUCUAGGAAGUAACUAGCUUGCUUUUGAUUUUACAGACUCACAGGGGGAAGGAACUUGGCUUGUCUUAGGUGAGACUUUGGACUGUGGACAUUUGGGUUAAUGCUGAAAUGAGUUAAGGCUUUGGGGGACUGUUGGGAAGGCAUGAUUGGUUUUGAAAUGUGAGGACAUGAGAUUUGGAGGGGCCGGGGUGGAAUGAUAUGAUUUGGCUCUGUGUCCCCACCCAAAUCUCAUCUUGAAUUGUACUCCCAUAAUUCCCACGUGUUGUGGGAGGGACCUGGUGGGAGAUAAUUGAAUCCUGGGGGUGGUUUCCCUCAUAUUGUUCUUGUGGUAGUAAGAAUAAGUCUCACGAGACCUGAUGGUUUUAUCAGGGGUUUCUGUUUUUAUAUCUUCCUCAUUUUCUCUUGCUGCCUCCAUGUAAGAAGUGCCUUUCACCUCCAGCCAUGAUUGUGAGGCCUCCCCAGCCAUGUGGAACUGUCCAGUGAAACCUCUUUUUCUUCCCAGUCUCGGAGCAAGAAAAAGAAACAUGAUGGAAUAACCCAAUUUAAAAUUGAAGCCGGGUGUGGUGGCUCAUGCCUGUAAUCCCAGCAUUUUGGGAGGCCGAG
RNAcentral lists this long non-coding RNA (621 nucleotides) under Homo sapiens (human). RNAcentral describes it as "HSALNT0187576". The record is from RNAcentral. Lineage: Eukaryota; Metazoa; Chordata; Mammalia; Primates; Hominidae.